AUCACUUUUUUCAAUAUUACUAACUUUAGGAUCAUUACACUUUUACCUUAAUUAAAUAUCAAUUAAACAAAAAUUACUAGACCAAAUUUUAAUAUAUUUUUAAAUAUUUAUGAACACAUUUUGUGGAAAUGCUAUUUCAGAAUUGUAAUUUCUAACACCAUUGGAAACUAGAUUGUUACAGAUACCUCUAAAUGUAACACCCCAUACUCGACCUGGUGGUUGAGUCCAAGCUAUAAGAUGCUACAUUCAUUGCCAAAGCAACUACAAUUACAAUUUUUAUCAAUUCAAUACUUUAUACUCAC
This 302-nucleotide long non-coding RNA is filed under the name Gossypium barbadense (sea-island cotton). Its description in RNAcentral is "long non-coding RNA (GBAR_LNC012529)". The record is from RNAcentral. Lineage: Eukaryota; Viridiplantae; Streptophyta; Magnoliopsida; Malvales; Malvaceae.